This 4286-nucleotide long non-coding RNA is filed under the name Triticum aestivum (bread wheat). RNAcentral describes it as "long non-coding RNA (TAES_LNC024570)". Lineage: Eukaryota; Viridiplantae; Streptophyta; Magnoliopsida; Poales; Poaceae. The record is from RNAcentral.
UUUUGUAUGAUUUCUAUAGAAAAAAAUGUUCCUUUGGUUUGUAGGAAUAGAAUCAUAUUCCUAUGGAACAAAUUCUUUCUAUCCUUCACAUUUCAUAUGAAAAUAAUAUUUACCUAGACUCAAUAGAAAAAUCAAAUGAUAUGAAUGAAAGGACAUCUCUUUUUCUAUUACUAUUCAUAGGAUUUGAGAUACAUGACAUCUCAUUUCCUACAAGUUUUAUAUUCCUAUGAACCAAAGUGGGUCUUAGCCUUUUUUUUCUGCUUGCAUAUCCAAUAUUGUUGUAUAAAGCUCGGAAAUUUUUUGGCCCCUUCCAAUGACAUUGCCUUGGGACUCUUUUGAACAUCGACAUAAUACCUCUCCAUCUCUUUGAUACUCUGCAAAAAUAAACAUACAUAGAAAUAAACCUUUUGUAUUAUCAUGUGCAACAUAUGUACAAGGAAGAACAAUUAUGUGUAUGCAUCUUAUUGUGUAAAACUCGACGAGUUUUGAGUCCCGUCCAUCAUAGUUAUGUCAGUGACUUUGUCAAUGGACACUUUCAAAGCAUCAUCCGAAGCCACCAAUUUUAUCUCAGACCAACAAAAGUUAACAUAUAAACAUAUAUUAAAAAAUAUACAUGUAUGCUGAAUGCUGCUAGCUAAGUGCUCGUGCCUUGGCACAGCAUAACUGAAAAAUAUAAGCACUCGUAAUUCAGAAAAUAUAUGUCAAACAUGACGCCUGUAAUAUCUAUUCAUAUAGCUACAAAUAUCAAUUCUCUCCCCCACUUAUUUCCUUGAGAGUCCAUAUGCCUCCUUAACCACCCACUCUUGAAAAAGACAAAGCAGCAUGUAGCAUUGUCGUCUCUUCAAAGGUAUAGAGUAGAAAAGGACUUGAAACUACGGUAGUUAAACAAACAUUCUCUCAAGACCUCGAUGCCACACUGAGAUAACCUUUCUCUCUGCCAGAUGCCUCCCCUCCUCUCGACCUAGCGCAUGACUUUGACUUCCCGACAAACUUCCAUUCGGAAAUGGUGGUGAAGUUGCGAGUCCGAGUUCAUCUCUAGCCAUGCUAUAUAAUGCGAUCCUCCCUUCAGUGAGUUUUUCUCAUGAAGGAAAAAAAAAAGAGAAAUGGCAUGAACAUAGAAUUUCAUUACUUUCUAAUAAAUUAAAAUAGACAUAAUUAUCUCUAUGACUAUUUACACUAAGGUCUUCAGGAGCAGCAAAGGUACAACAUAACACAAGACUAUUUACAUACAAAUAAUUUCAAAGAGACAUGAUUAUCUACACGAGCGUUUACCCCAAAUGGUAUUGAAGAUUGAUCAAGAUACAUCAUAGCAUAUACUUUUUCAGUGCGAUGAUAACAUAUUCACCAUCAUGCCAAAUUUAUCGACUCAUGUACCAUUGAAAUUUUGGCAGUUCAUACUGUACUUACCAAGAGCAGGUUGACAUAAUAAGAUAUCCAUGGUGGGGAAAACAUCCUUCGCUUUACCUAGCUGACAUUGGCAUUUUUCACCAUCGCAAAUCUUCAGUAACCUAUUAAAUGUUGUGCCUCCUACACAAGUCGAAGAAAAAUAGAUAGAUUCAUAUAUUGACAUGGUGGACGAAUAAAUCAUCAAGCAUAUUACUUUGCAACAAUUAGUGUACAAAACAGUACAUGCAAAUCUUAAUUAUAUGCCUUUUUUAGAAUCAUGGUAGACUGAUGUUUUAAGCAUGAAUAGUAUUUUAGCCUUGUGCUCAGCCUGCCAUAUCCAACUAUAAGGCAGCCAACACAGCAGUGAAAAUGAUUUAAGUUGCAUUUGAUUAGAAUGCACUGGACAACAUGGUAAGCAUGAAUACUCUUGUAUGCGCAAUUUAUUUUGUUGGGAAAUCAUAUUUAUUAGAAGCUUAUUAAUAAUAUACAUCAAGAAAUUAUUCACUAUUUAGUUGACUAAAGGAUAACCUCAGUCCUCAGAAUACAACAAUCCCAUUCUACACAUCUGGAUGUAUUGUUCAAGUGUUCACAAUAACACUAAAUUUAUAUAUUACAAAAAAUUCAGCGGUGAUAUGCACGUCUUCGAGAAAAAUUUAAAAUAAUGUCAAGAUAAAUUCUUGGACCUAAGUACAUGGGAGUACAGAACUCGGAACAUGUAAGAUUGUACCUUAUCCCAGUCCCAAGUAAGAGGAUCAGGAUACCACAUAUCCGACAAUGCUUUCUUCAAAUGUCUUCAGCUUUCUUGCACACUGCUCAGACCUGCACAACAAAUAUUUAUAAGAUGGUGAUAAUGCAACAUGGCUACCUGAGACUCAAGUGAUUUUUUGUCUGCGCCGAGGAUAAUAAACAAUGAAAAACAUUACACUAUUCUCUAAAAUUGGUUUGGACCAGAAAAGGAAGUCAAGGCCAACUACACCAUCAUCUCGCAAGUAUUGGCAACAUCUUGCUUGCGCUUGGUCAUUUCACCAAAGGAUAGAAAAUAGUAAUCAAUGUGCAGACUAAUAAUUCUCACACAACAGUAAAGUAAGAUUGGUCCUUUCCAUCUCCAGUUCAGCGACAAGCACCGUAACAAUAAGCAUAUUUAUGCAUCAAUAAAAAUCAGCAAGCAGUUGUCGUCUUGCCGCCCUUCUCGUCAGGGUGGGUGAGGGGGCUUGUAAUGUGUCCCAUGGCAUGAGCAUCAAGCAUGGCCCCGAGACAUCAUGUAGACAACCAGCGAAGUUCCCCAUCAAUUGACACCAUAUGAUUUCUAUUACCAUGUGGACAAAUAUUUAGCUGAUAAGCACUUAAAGAAAGAAAAACAAUCCUUCAAUCCUAUGAGCCAAUAAGUAGAUCAUCAUAUCUUUCUUUUUGCACAUGCACGCCCUCUUAUUGUAGAGAUGGUGUGGGUAACAAAGAAGUUUUUCCUAUCGGUGUCGUGCAUUGCGAAGAACCUCCAGCAAGAGCGAUUCUUGAUCAGAAUCCUUCCCUGGAGGGGCCAUCGAGGAUGAUGAUUCAUAUGGGGGGUAAUAUGAACAGGUUAAGUGAUACUGCUCGUCCUUGACUGGGAUUGCCAGGUUAUGCCAGAAAUGAGUUCUGUUUUUCUAAACUGAGAAGAAGCUUGUUUAGGUCUCAGCUUGAAAUAGUAACGUGUAAAUAUGUUUUUUUCACUCUCAGCUUGGAAUCGGCAAACCAAGAGAAUCUAUAGGUUUUCUUCUUUAACCUUUUGGCCAAGCGUUGUCAUUAUUGACAGAUUUUUGCGAUGCCUAUUUUUGAGAUCCUCAAUUACUACCAUUUACAUUGGAUCCUGACUGUUGAACUUCUAGGUGGUAGGUAUCGGUUCGCAUAAUCAGGCAAACACAAAGCUCUAAUAGUAACAUAUCCUUCCUUAGUAGAACCAAAAUUCUAUCAUUUAUCUCUAAAAUUCUCAAGGAAAUAUUUUCUCCUAAAGCCUAACUCGUGAUGAAUUUCAGACAGCAAUUAUGCAGUUGCAGACACAAAGGGCACAUGCAGUUGACCAUGAGGCUCUUGAAGGCAAUUCAUCUAACGCUUCGUGCACACCCAAAUAAAUUUACAGGGAAACAAUACUCACAGUUUGGAGAAAUGAGGUGAGGUCUUCUGUCUGGUAUGCACUUGAUGUCCCCAUCUUCACAUCCUUGCGCCAGUGUGUGGGUCGCUACUGAUGCCCCAUGCGAUGUCACAUGAUGUGGCGAAUGAUCGAACCAAAAAAUACUGGUUUGAGAAAGAUAGCUGACAUGGGCAGCUGUUUGAUGCUAGUUAUUAGUCGAUGAUGUAGGUCCUGGGGACUCUUGGUCAUAUGUUUCGCCAGGGAUCAGUUCUCUUUCUUUGAGAACAAACUCCAAUCCGCAGAACAAGCAUCAAGCAAAUGAUCAACAAAAGGAAAAUGUAUCAACUAUGUACGCUUACAUAUCUCCACAUGCCCAAUCUGCUUUUUAUGAUGUUCAUGGUAUAAGAAAUGAUUUAAAUGUCCUUAUUCACCCUUAAAUAUAUAUUUGCCAAAUCAUUAAGUCUAGUAGCUGCCCUCAAACUCUAUAAGGAUCAGGCACAUGCUAAGGCAUGCAACCCACAUUAGGCUGUGGCGGGAAGGAUUACAUGGUCUUUUUUCCCAACAAGAAAAUGAAAAGAUCUAUUUAUUCACAGAAAUAUAUGUGAGCAUCUGAUUAAAGGAAAAAUACUCGUAAGGCAAGUAUAACAGUUCAUGAUGCUCACCUAGCAUGCACAAAACAGAGACUGGCCAUGCAAUCUUCACUGCCUGAUGAGGUUAUCAAUUUUAUUUUUCCUUCUUCGGCGAAGAUAAUGAAGAUUAACAAGAUGGGUCUGGUAUGUCACUUGAGCAAAGUCAC